This 329-nucleotide unclassified non-coding RNA is filed under the name soil metagenome. RNAcentral describes it as "partial contains 5.8S ribosomal RNA, internal transcribed spacer 2, and large subunit ribosomal RNA". The stretch from base 1 to 120 matches the Rfam family "5.8S ribosomal RNA", at positions 35 to 154 of the family's 154-position model. The record is from RNAcentral.
GAUGAAGAACGUAGCGAAAUGCGAUAAGUAGUGUGAAUUGCAGAAUUCAGUGAAUCAUCGAAUCUUUGAACGCACAUUGCGCCCCUUGGUAUCCCGAGGGGCAUGCCUGUUCGAGCGUCAUUUCACCACUCAAGCCUGGCUUGGUGUUGGGCGACGUCCCAUUUGGGGACGCGCCUCGAAACGCUCGGCGGCGUGGCACCGGCUUUAAGCGUAGCAGAAUCUUUCGCUUUGGAAGUCGGGGCCCCGUCUGCCGGAAGACCUACUCGCAAGGUUGACCUCGGAUCAGGCAGGGAUACCCGCUGAACUUAAGCAUAUCAAUAAGCGGAGGA